This 829-nucleotide ribosomal RNA is filed under the name uncultured bacterium. RNAcentral's name for it is "bacterial SSU rRNA". It matches the Rfam family "Bacterial small subunit ribosomal RNA", at positions 68 to 881 of the family's 1533-position model. The record is from RNAcentral.
GGCAGCACGGGAGCUUGCUCCUGGUGGCGAGUGGCGAACGGGUGAGUAAUGUAUCGGAACGUACCCCGUCGUGGGGGAUAACUCUCCGAAAGGAGAGCUAAUACCGCAUACGACCCGAGGGUGAAAGCGGGGGACCUGGGGUAACCUGGGCCUCGCGCGAUGGGAGCGGCCGAUAUCGGAUUAGCUAGUUGGUGGGGUAAAGGCCUACCAAGGCGACGAUCCGUAGCGGGUCUGAGAGGACGACCCGCCACACUGAAACUGAGACACGGUCCAGACUCCUACGGGAGGCAGCAGUGGGGAAUUUUGGACAAUGGGCGCAAGCCUGAUCCAGCCAUUCCGCGUGAGUGAAGAAGGCCUUCGGGUUGUAAAGCUCUUUCAGCAGGAACGAAACGGUGGGUCUUAAUACGGCCUGCUAAUGACGGUACCUGCAGAAGAAGCACCGGCUAACUACGUGACAGCAGCCGCGGUAAUACGUAGGGUGCGAGCGUUAAUCGGAAUUACUGGGCGUAAAGCGUGCGCAGGCGGCGACAUAAGACAGAUGUGAAAUCCCCGGGCUCAACCUGGGAACGGCGUUUGUGACUGUGUGGCUAGAGUGUAGCAGAGGGGGGUGGAAUUCCACGUGUAGCAGUGAAAUGCGUAGAGAUGUGGAAGAACACCGAUGGCGAAGGCAGCCCCCUGGGUUAACACUGACGCUCAUGCACGAAAGCGUGGGGAGCAAACAGGAUUAGAUACCCUGGUAGUCCACGCCCUAAACGAUGCCAACUAGGUGUUGGGGGAGGAGACUUCCUUAGUACCGUAGCUAACGCGUGAAGUUGGCCGCCUGGGGAGU